RNAcentral lists this ribosomal RNA (441 nucleotides) under uncultured bacterium. RNAcentral describes it as "partial 16S ribosomal RNA". It matches the Rfam family "Bacterial small subunit ribosomal RNA", at positions 338 to 795 of the family's 1533-position model. The record is from RNAcentral.
CCUACGGGUGGCAGCAGUGGGGAAUAUUGCACAAUGGGGGAAACCCUGAUGCAGCAACGCCGCGUGAGUGAAGAAGUAUUUCGGUAUGUAAAGCUCUAUCAGCAGGGAAGAAGAAAGACGGUACCUGACUAAGAAACCCCGGCUAACUACGGGCCAGCAGCCGCGGUAAUACGUAGGGGGCAAGCGUUAUCCGGAUUUACUGGGUGUAAAGGGAGCGUGGACGGCUUUGGAAGUAUGAAGUGAAAGCCCGUGGCCUAACCCCGGGACUGCUUUGGAAACUGUAAAACUUGAGUACUGGAGAGGACAGGGGAAUUCCUAGUGUAGCGGUGGAAUGCGUAGAUAUUAGGAGGAAAACCAGUGGCGAAGGCGGCCAGCUGGACAGAAACUGACGUUGAGGCUCGAAAGGGUGGGGAGCAAACAGGAUUAGAUACCCGAGUAGUC